GGUACGGUUUGCCUUCCUGUUUUGGCACGGGAUACCUUCCUUCCUCCUUUGCUCCUCGUACCAACGACCGGCUUUGCUAGGGUUCCUCAUCCAGCCGACGUCUUCUUCUCCGGCUGUACUAUCGCCACCCCACUUCCAGCGCCCCGCAAUCAGGACUAGGUGAGAAACUCAACAAAUCUCAAGUUGUCUGGGUGUUUAUUUUUAUUUUUACUUUUUUUUAGGGUCUAUUUCAGCAAAUCUCAGUAUGCAGAUCUCUGUAUUUAAGAUUUCUCUAGUUUCCCAGUGCUACAGCACUUACGAUUUGAGGUUGAUUUGCCGUAUGGCUUGAUUUAUGUCUCUCACCUUGAUUAACUCGCCAUUCAGUUUCUCUUUUCCUGAACUCACGGGUCAGGAUCCUUGUUAAUACAUAUAUUUCUUCAGGCGCUCUAAUACUAGUAUACAAUGCCUCGAGUUGGAGACCCAGAAGCAUCCUCGUUCUUAAGGCUCUUGGCGGAGUUCGGUUACCUUUCCUCCAUCAUUCUGGAACGAUGGAUUAAUUUCAAGAAUGUGUCUAUCGGACGGCCUUUCUUAAUAUACAACACUGUAUGGUUGGUUCUUGACAAAAUAGACUCGCCCUAUGCACGGCCCUGGACACUUUUUUAAUACUCUACUCCCUCCUUUUUUACAAGGCACCCCAAUCUGACGGGUGCCAUGUUGACUCAGUGGAGGAAUUCUGUAAAUAAAGAUUGGCUUUCUCUUAUGUCAAGCACAGUGUCUCCCUUUCAAAUUUUAUGUCAUUUAAGGGUAUGGUUAUGUGUUAUGUAUCUUUAAAAUAUGUGUGCGUUUAUGGAUCUGAUAAAAGAAGUGUGGUGUUAGAUAGUUUGCAUAUGCACGUUUUAAAUGCCGGAGUUGCCAUUGUUGUCUCUCCAGCUUGUGAGCCACCCCUUUCUAUGUUGCUCCCAGAAUUCUUUUGUUUGAUCGAACAAUGCAGCAGCGAUCCUUGCAGUUUGAGAAUCCGCGUCACUUUGUUUUGCUAGCCCACAGACCACAGCUCUGUUCUGGACACAUGGCUACUUUGACCUCCAGGCACCUCCAUUCUCACCAGCAUGAUUUAAACUUUUUGAAGCAUUUCCUUGGGACGGUUUCUUAGUACUCUUUGCAGAAACCCUAGGAAAAGAGAUCGGUGAAUUGAUUUCUGUUACAUACUUGUCUGGUAUACAAGAAACCUUCGAUAUCAUGAUGAAGUACAUUCUUGGCAUGGCAAGUAUGCAAACCUUUUGUGAGCUGCUCUGUAUUAAUUAAAAGAGAAGAAUGUUUGAGAAAUAUGAAUAGACCUUUUUAAACAAGUGCGCUAACAACACGUGCCUUUGUUGGAGGAGCUUGGCUUCUUCCAAAUAACUGGAAUGCAAGAGAAGUUGGCGAUGAGCAGCUUCAUGUUUUUGUAAGCUGAUACUCAAUUGGUAUAGCAACUUCACACGACUUUGUUUGGACAAAUACAGAAUUCAAAUGGCCAUCUUCCAAAAGCUUUUUGCAGUUAAAGAUUAUCAGACACACUUGAAUUAUGUGCAUGUUGUGAAUAAUCAAAGUUCUACUGUACGUUAUCCGUGGAUCCAGGUGCAUGUCAUUCCAAUUGCCUACAGGAAUGAGGAUAAUUUCGUGAGAGCGAACUAAGUGGUCUGUUUUUUUGGGUAUAUAUAUGCUCUGCUUUCAGGUGCUAAUUCUGUUCUAGAUGGACCCUGUGUUUCCGAUUACUUCAAUUGUCAGUUACAUUGCUCCUGUUUUGCAGAAGGGGAGCCUUGGCACAGUGGUAAAGCUCCUGUUUUCCAAUAUGUAUGCUUGAGCCCCUGUGCAACACCAUGUGUACUCUCUUGUUGCAUGUAUUCAUACAUCCAUCUUUAGUUUUUGAUUCAGGUGAUAUCAGUCUAUAAAGUUUACUGGUGUGUGUAUGAUAAGAUGCAUGUUAAGGCAUUUGUUUGGUUUUGUACAGACAUGCCCAUUGGUUUAGCUUCUUUUACCCUGUGCUAAAUAUUCCUCAAUUGUUCAUAUCCUGUCAG
RNAcentral lists this long non-coding RNA (2033 nucleotides) under Hordeum vulgare. Its description in RNAcentral is "long non-coding RNA (HVUL_LNC014228)". The record is from RNAcentral. Lineage: Eukaryota; Viridiplantae; Streptophyta; Magnoliopsida; Poales; Poaceae.